This 1113-nucleotide long non-coding RNA is filed under the name Homo sapiens (human). Its description in RNAcentral is "HSALNT0175285". The record is from RNAcentral. Lineage: Eukaryota; Metazoa; Chordata; Mammalia; Primates; Hominidae.
CACCCACGGAGGUAAAUGUCCUUAUGUUAUUUACCGGAGAUAGAACUGAGCCUCAAAGAGGUUGGGUGAUUUGCCGAAACGAUGCAGCAGUAUUUAUACAUCCAGCAUAGCAUUGAAGCCGGGACAUGCAAGGAUCUGAGCCAAGACCCCCAGGGAGAUCACUUCAGAUCCAUGAUUCUUUGAAACACUCAUUGAAGGCCUGUCAGCAGACCGGUGGAAUUACUGGCACUUUGAACAACACGUAAAGCCGAACAUCUACCCCAAAGACCCAGAUAUUGACACGGACCCACUUUUUCUCCUUGGAGAUUCACAACCUGUCAAGGUACACUUAGAAAUCUUGAGCACCGAGGAAAUGUUCCUGGAAGUGGUUCGUGGAAAGGCUUACAGCCUUGCCUUGGAAAGAUCAAGCUGGAAAUUCUGGCUUCACACACAAUCUGAGAACAUCUCUCCUUCUUUUAGGUUCAAAAUACAGAUUUGAAAUAACUGAAUCUGGGGCUGUAAGAAUACAAGGCGAUUUAGAGCCGUAACCAUUAAGUCUAUGACCUUACAGAUCAUCCAGUCCAACCUCCCACGGCAGGAAAUAUGGAAAUCCACAUUACUCUGAGCAAUCCCAGUGACAGAUGGGUCCCUGCCCAGUGCCUGUCAUUUCCUCUGAGGCAAUACAAGCCAAUGUUAGAUCGUGGAACCAGAUGACUGAAGUUGCAAUGACUGUCUGAGGUUUAAACAGGGCAUGGAGAAACAUUCACUGAGAGAAUAUAGGUCAAUAUAUUCAAUAAGCACUAGGUCACAUACGUUCACAUAGCUAGUUAUCUCAACUAAUUCUAGCCCAGUUAGAAAAGACUAUGCUGUUAUAUUUAGUUCAUGUUCAUUUUGGUGCAUUUACACAUGAACUACAGCCCAAAUGCCAUGGAAGAGAUCUACAGGUCUCACCUCUAAUUUGAGCUUCUUAAACAACAGAAAAAAGGAGGGGGAAAACCAUCUUCAGAAUUUCUCAGUUAAUUAUUACUUUUUAAAACUCCAACUUAUUUCUGAGGGCUCUGUUCUGUUCCAUUGAUCUAUAUCUCUGUUUUGGUACCAGUACCAUGCUGUUUUGGUUACUGUAGCCUUGUAGUA